CAGCGAUCCAGCGAAAGAAAAGAGAAGUGACAGAAACAACUUUACCUGGACUGAAGAUAAAAGCACAGACAAGAGAACAAUGCCCUGGACAUGGCUCCAGAGAUCCACAUGACAGGCCCAAUGUGCCUCAUUGAGAACACUAACAGGGAACUGGUGGCGAAUCCAGAAGCUCUGAAGAUCCUGUCUGCCAUUACACAGCCUGUGGUGGUGGUGGCAAUUGUGGGCCUCUACCGCACAGGAAAAUCCUACCUGAUGAACAAGCUGGCUGGGAAGAAUAAGGGUGAGUGGCAUGAGCAAAGCUCUGCCAAGUCCCUUCUGUCCCCCAACACAGUCAGCAUCCAUUAUGAGGAUGUGAGGAGAGAAAGCUGGCACUGGGAAUAAGCUAACUUUCCAUUCACAGUUGGGCUCCUUAUCUUCACUCUUCUAGGGCAUAAGCAUCAGCUCACGGCUGUUCUGAAGGUAGUGAGUUAUCUCAAUUGACUGUUCACCAUGAGUUACAGUUGAACUCCUUG
This 512-nucleotide small RNA is filed under the name Pan troglodytes (chimpanzee). RNAcentral describes it as "retained intron". Lineage: Eukaryota; Metazoa; Chordata; Mammalia; Primates; Hominidae. The record is from RNAcentral.